CUUGCACCAGUGGCUUCCCCGAGGCUCUCAGGCCCCCGGCCUCAGACUGAAGACUGCACUGCGGGCUUUCCUGGUUUUGAGGCUUUUGGACUUGGACUGAGCCACUACUAGCUUCUCUCUUUCCCUACCUGGCAGACAGCCUGUUGUGGGACUGCCUUCUAACCGUGUGAACCAAUUCUCUCUGGGAGCUUAUAGCUUCAUUGCACUGUGUGUGGCAUUUGGGUCCUGUUUGACAGCAAUGACUGCCUUUCUGUUUAGUGUCUGUGUGCUAUGAAGAUUGCACACAGGGGUCCAGAUGCAUCCUGUUUUGAGAAUGUUAAUGGAUACACCAGCUGCUGCUUUGGAUUUCACCCAUUGGUGGUAGUGGACCCGCUGUUUGGAAUGCAGACAAUUUAAGUGAAGACAUAUCCAUAUAUGUGGCUCUGUUACAAUGGUGAAAUCUACAACCAUAAGAAGCCAAAAAUGUGAGUAUGACAUACAAAGAGAAAUACAUCAAGGACUUUUCAUCCUCAUAGUUUGCCAGUGAUGCUGGAGAGUGUCAGAAUUGGUGCAGCACCAGUUUGAAUUUGAAUACCAGACCAAAGUGGAUGGUGAGAUAAUCCUUCAUCUUUAUGACAAAGGAGGAAUUGAGCAAACAAUUUGUACGUUGGUUGGUGUGUUUGCAUUUGUUUUACUGGAUUCUGCCAAUAAGAAAGUGUCCCUGGACAGAGAUACAUAAGGAGUCAGACCUUUGUUUAAAGCAGUGACAGAAGAUGGAUUUUUGGCUGUGCGUUCAGAAGCUAAAGUUCUGGAGGCCACAAGUCCAAAAUCAAGGUGUGGGCAGAAAUGCGCUCCCUCUGCAGACUCCUGGGGAGGAUGCUUGUUUCUUCCAGCUCUGCGACUGUGGUGCCUGCAGCCAUUGGAACCAGCUCUGCACGGCUCAGACCUGGGUGAUGAGGACACAGCUUUGCAGGUGGGCAGCCACAUCCCCAGGGGGAGACUGUGGGCCUGUGGCAGGGUAGGGGCAACCAGUGCAGGGGCUCCCCAUUGUUGCCCCUGAGCUCCUGGGGCUUGUGGAGAAAGACAGGUGGAUGCACACAUACUGCAGCUCCCUGGAUCUGAGCCUUGGUUUCCCUACCUGUGAAAUGGGCACCCAUGGCAGCUCAGAAGUGUCUGGGAGCAUCCCCUGUGGGGGAAGGUGUGGGGGGCUGCUGGGGCACAGUCAUGGGGAACCCCAGUCCCCCUCUCCAUGUGCUUCCCUCAAUGCUCCCUGAUGCCAGCAGUCCUGCCCCCGAACAGAAAGGGGCAUUCCUGUGAGUUCCUUGUGUGGGGGACUGGUCACAGAGACUCCCCAAGUGCAGGGCAGGGUGGAGGGAGGCUGAGGGGUGGUUGAAUGGACAGGAGAAGAGCUCUCUCCAGUCCCUUGGGUCUGGGUGGCCUGGGGAGCAUCCAUUUGGGCAGGCAGCUGGUGGGGCUGGUGGCUGAGCCACUGUGGCUCGGGGACCCCAGGCCAGGACAGAGUAGGGUGGGCAGGGAGAGCAGAGUGCGAGCAUAUGGGGCAGGACAGGUGUCUCCUGGACAGAAAGAGCCCUGGUCACUCAUGGCUGCAGCAUAGCCAUGGCGACAGGAAAGUGCUGCUGUACAUUGUGCUCCUGGGGCUGGCUCCCAAUGGACACCCAACAGCAUCUCCCCCAUUGUACUGUGGGAUGCUGGCAGUGGUGCUGGGCACUGGGGUAAGAGCCUUGGCAAGCCCUUCGCUCCCUGGGUGUGAGACUUUGGGCUCCUGGAUGCCUGGGUUUCUGUGUCCUAUUUUUCCCAUGGAAGAUGUUUGGGGUGCUCCCAGGAAAUGGGGAGGGCCCUGGGGGGUCAGGAUUGUAUUAUUAAAGCCAGAAAGUCUGGGGUUCCAUUUUUAGCACAAGGCAGGCAGCCCAUGAGCCCCAGCCCAGUGGCCAGCCUGUGUGGGAGGGGAGUGGGGGUCUGAAGGAGUGAGGC
RNAcentral lists this long non-coding RNA (1971 nucleotides) under Homo sapiens (human). RNAcentral's name for it is "HSALNT0402770". The record is from RNAcentral. Lineage: Eukaryota; Metazoa; Chordata; Mammalia; Primates; Hominidae.